Molecule: long non-coding RNA, 418 nt
Filed under: Trifolium pratense (red clover)
Lineage: Eukaryota; Viridiplantae; Streptophyta; Magnoliopsida; Fabales; Fabaceae
Description: long non-coding RNA (TPRA_LNC013384)
Source: RNAcentral
CAUUAUAGUACAGCAUACUGAAGCUCUGUUUUCGUGCAGAAUUUUUAUUUCAAAUCUGAGUCAAGAUUUGCUUCAAUUAUAUAUUCAGGCACGUGCGUCUAGGCAAGACGAGACUUACUCAGCAAGUUUUGUUGAAGUCGGUCAAAGGAAAGUGAUUUAAAACAAAAAUAUAAUUAUAUUAUAUUUCUGGCGUUUUUUUUUUGUUUGGUACAACAUGAAACAAACAAAUUAUAUUUUUGAAAUUAAUUUAGGGUUGGGCCACAAUUCUCACAGCUGUACAAGUCUGAAGACCUAACUUGGACAUCAAGAAAAUUGAAGACUAUAAAUAUGUGAAGCCUCAAGCCUUUACAACUCGUGUAUUCAAAACCUUGUCUUUCAUAAAGCGUGCGUUUUUUAAGGUUUUGGUUGUGUGUUUUUU